This 300-nucleotide ribosomal RNA is filed under the name uncultured Chloroflexota bacterium. RNAcentral describes it as "bacterial SSU rRNA". It matches the Rfam family "Bacterial small subunit ribosomal RNA", at positions 114 to 417 of the family's 1533-position model. Lineage: Bacteria; Bacillati; Chloroflexota. The record is from RNAcentral.
CACGUGGGUAACCUGCCUCGUAGUGGGGAAUAACUCGCCGAAAGGCGAGCUAAUACCGCAUAACACCCCUGGUGAGAGUCCAGGCGGUAAAAGCUUCGGCGCUACGAGAGGGCCCCGCGGCCGAUUAGCUGUUGGUGGGGUAAUGGCCUACCAAGGCGACGAUCGGUAGCUGGUCUGAGAGGAUGGUCAGCCACACGGGGACUGAGAUACGGCCCCGACUCCUACGGGAGGCAGCAGCUAAGAAUCUUGCGCAAUGGGCGAAAGCCUGACGCAGCAAUUCCGCGUGGGGGACGAAGGCCC